UACGUAGGGAGCGAGCGUUGUCCGGAAUCAUUGGGCGUAAAGAGCUCGUAGGCGGCUCGUUGCGUCGGCUGUGAAAACCCGCAGCUCAACUGUGGGCUUGCAGCCGAUACGGGCGGGCUGGAGUUCGGUAGGGGAGACUGGAAUUCCUGGUGUAGCGGUGAAAUGCGCAGAUAUCAGGAGGAACACCGGUGGCGAAGGCGGGUCUCUGGGCCGGUACUGACGCUGAGACGCGAAAGCGUGGGGAGCGAACAGG
This 253-nucleotide ribosomal RNA is filed under the name uncultured bacterium. RNAcentral's name for it is "partial 16S ribosomal RNA". It matches the Rfam family "Bacterial small subunit ribosomal RNA", at positions 524 to 776 of the family's 1533-position model. The record is from RNAcentral.